Oncorhynchus tshawytscha (Chinook salmon) is the source of this 2041-nucleotide long non-coding RNA. The record is from Ensembl. NCBI's taxonomy places the organism in Eukaryota, Metazoa, Chordata, Actinopteri, Salmoniformes, Salmonidae.
UGGUGACCUGGAGGCAGGAGUGGGAGCACACGUGACAAGAUUUAAGUCAAAACAGUGACUCGGCAACUCAAGAACAUUUACUUUCUUCUUGCAUCCCUUGGCAAGACGGAGCUGCUCUUCUUCCUUUGGAAAGACUGCCACUCCAAGACUUCUCAAUCACGGCGGACAACUACACGGUGUACCCAUACCAGAUUGCAAAGAACCUUAGUGUGACCCUGGACACCACCCUGUAAUUCUCUGCAAACAUCAGUGACUAGCUCCUGCAGGCUAAUGCUCUUCAACAUCCGUAGAGUAUGACCUUAUCUUACACAGGAAGCGGCGCAGGUCCUUUUCAUAAACUUGUCAUCUCCCAUCUGGACUAAUGCAACUCACUGUUGACUGGGAUCUCUGAUUGUGCUAUCAAACUGCUGCAACUUAUCCAGAACGCUGCAGCCCGCCUGGUGUUCAACCUUCCCAUGUUCUCCUACAGUAUGUCACCCUGCUCCUCCGCACACUCCACUGGCUUCUAGUCGAAACUCUCAUCCACUAUGGAGCAGCAAGAGGAACUAACCCUUCCUACCUUCAAGCUAUGCUCAAACCCUACCCAAGUACUCCGUUCUGCCACCUCUGGUCUUUUGGCCCUCCUACUUCAGGGCAGCUCCCGCUCAGCCCAAUCAAAGCUCUUCUCUGUCCUGGUAACCCCCCCCCAAGUUUGCUAAAAGAUACUUUGAGGAAACAUGUAUUAACUAUGACUGAUAUGUAGUUGUCCCACCUAGCUAUUUUAAGAUGAAUAUACUAACUAUAUGUCACUCUGGAUGAGUCAAUUACAUGUAAUUCAUCACCUGGGUGUUUUGGGAAUUGUUGUAUUCAGGGAUAGGUGAGUCAAAGUUGAGAUCACACCACAACAUAAAGGUUCAACACAAUGCAUUGGAAAAUUGUUCCUAAUAAAAAGGUGAAAAGAGCUGUCAGGGAGGAAGAAGACAACUUAUGUCUGAUUGGACAAGAUCAUUUGAUUAGGGAAGCUGAUUGAAAUGGAACACUUACUAUACUAAAGCAAUAAGGCCUGAGGGGGUGUGGUAUAUGGCCAAUAUACCACAGGUAAGGGCUGUUCUUAUGCACGAAGAGUACCUGGAUAUAGUCCUUAGCCAUGGUAUAUUGGAAAUAUACUGCAAACCCCCAAGGUGCCUUAUUGCUAUUAUAAACUGUUGACUAACGUAAUUAGAGAAGAAAAAAGACAUGUUUUGUCAUUCCGUUGGUAUACGGUCUGAUGUACGACAGCUUUCAGCCAAUCAGCAUUCAGGGCUCGAACCACCCCGUUUAUGAAUGCUGAAUAAGAGCAAGUACAGCAAAUGUACAGUAUGUGGUGAAUAAUGGCACACUCACUUACACGGUGUGACUCACUCUAUUGCCAGUACAUUUUCCUUGCUGUUAAUUCUACUACUUAAGUGUUGACUUUUACUUUCCAAAGUGGGCGUGGAAGGAGAGGGGACGGGAGUUCUAGAUGGGCGGGAUGGUGGAGACCUGCGCUAUCCACACAAGCAGGGACAAGAGGCAGCUCCAGCGUGCAGAGUGGGAGUGGUGAAAUCGGCCUGGAGGACGAUGUGACCACAAAAUGCACCCUGUGUCCCCAACCAUCAAGGUGGAAGACUCCAGAGAUUCAAGAGCAGCGUCUUGAAAAAGCUUGCCACCCGAAGCUUCAAUGUAUAAUUUGAAGUAGAACUUGCGUCUGUAGGACAGUAAGUUAUCCCUAAUUCUUGCAAACACAACAUGCCAAACAAAACAGGAUGUUAGGUUGGUCAGGUUGAAAUACUGGUGGCAGCUGUGAUUAAGGAGGAUGAGGACAGGUAUUGAGGCUGAUUGGCAGUGAGUUACAGCUGGUGGUAGUUGAGUUGUUAAACAGGGGGCAAGUUCGUUUUGCAUCGCACAGGAGCUGCAUUUGUCAACUACACUGAACAAAAAUAUAAAUGUAAAGUGUUGGUCCCAUGUUUCAUGAGCUGAAAUAAAAUAUCCCAGAAAUGUUCUAAAAAGCUUAUUUGUGUUCACAUAUUUGUUUAUAUCCCUG